AUUGAACGCUGGCGGCAGGCCUAACACAUGCAAGUCGAGCGGAUGAAGGGAGCUUGCUCCUGGAUUCAGCGGCGGACGGGUGAGUAAUGCCUAGGAAUCUGCCUGGUAGUGGGGGAUAACGUCCGGAAACGGGCGCUAAUACCGCAUACGUCCUGAGGGAGAAAGUGGGGGAUCUUCGGACCUCACGCUAUCAGAUGAGCCUAGGUCGGAUUAGCUAGUUGGUGGGGUAAAGGCCUACCAAGGCGACGAUCCGUAACUGGUCUGAGAGGAUGAUCAGUCACACUGGAAAUGAGACACGGUACAGACUCCUAAGGGAGGCAGCAGUGGGGAAUAUUGGACAAUGGGCGAAAGCCUGAUCCAGCCAUGCCGAGUGUGUGAAGAAGGUAUUCGGAUUGUAAAGCACGUUAAGUUGGGAGGAAGGGCAGUAAGUUAAUACCUUGCUGUUUUGACGUUACCAACAGAAUAAGCACCGGCUAACUUAGUG
This 484-nucleotide ribosomal RNA is filed under the name uncultured bacterium. RNAcentral describes it as "partial 16S ribosomal RNA". It matches the Rfam family "Bacterial small subunit ribosomal RNA", at positions 30 to 507 of the family's 1533-position model. The record is from RNAcentral.